GCGGGGUGGAGCAGUUGGCAGCUCGUCGGGCUCAUAACCCGAAGGUCGCAGGUUCAAGUCCUGCCCCCGC
This 70-nucleotide transfer RNA is filed under the name Betaproteobacteria bacterium HGW-Betaproteobacteria-10. Its description in RNAcentral is "tRNA-Met". It matches the Rfam family "tRNA". Rfam says of the family: Transfer RNA (tRNA) molecules are approximately 80 nucleotides in length. Their secondary structure includes four short double-helical elements and three loops (D, anti-codon, and T loops). Lineage: Bacteria; Pseudomonadati; Pseudomonadota; Betaproteobacteria. The record is from RNAcentral.